GAUGAACGCUGGCGGCGUGCCUAAUACAUGCAAGUCGAGCGAACGGACGAGAAGCUUGCUUCUCUGAUGUUAGCGGCGGACGGGUGAGUAACACGUGGAUAACCUACCUAUAAGACUGGGAUAACUUCGGGAAACCGGAGCUAAUACCGUAUAAUAUUUUGAACCGCAUGGUUCAAAAGUGAAAGACGGUCUUGCUGUCACUUAUUGAUGGAUCCGCGCUGCAUUAGCUAGUUGGUAAGGUAACGGCUUACCAAGGCAACGAUGCAUAGCCGACCUGAGAGGGUGAUCGGCCACACUGGAACUGAGACACGGUCCAGACUCCUACGGGAGGCAGCAGUAGGGAAUCUUCCGCAAUGGGCGAAAGCCUGACGGAGCAACGCCGAGUGAGUGAUGAAGGUCUUCGGAUCGUAAAACUCUGUUAUUAGGGAAGAACAUAUGUGUAAGUAACUGUGCACAUCUUGACGGUACCUAAUCAGAAAGCCACGGCUAACUACGUG
Molecule: ribosomal RNA, 497 nt
Filed under: uncultured bacterium
Lineage: Bacteria
Description: partial 16S ribosomal RNA
Rfam family: Bacterial small subunit ribosomal RNA
Source: RNAcentral